ACUCAAUAGAUACCCGGGUAGUCCAUGCCGUAAACGUUGGGAACUAGGUGUGGGUCUCAUUCCACGAGAUCCGUGCCGCAGCUAACGCAUUAAGUUCCCCGCCUGGGGAGUACGGCCGCAAGGCUAAAACUCAAAGGAAUUGACGGGGGCCCGCACAAGCGGCGGAGCAUGCGGAUUAAUUCGAUGCAACGCGAAGAACCUUACCAAGGCUUGACAUGUACCGGAAACGUGCAGAGAUGUGCGCCCCGCAAGGUCGGUACACAGGUGGUGCAUGGUUGUCGUCAGCUCGUGUCGUGAGAUGUUGGGUUAAGUCCCGCAACGAGCGCAACCCUCGUUCUAUGUUGCCAGCACGUGAUGGUGGGGACUCAUAGGAGACUGCCGGGGUCAACUCGGAGGAAGGUGGGGAUGACGUCAAAUCAUCAUGCCCCUUAUGUCUUGGGCUUCACGCAUGCUACAAUGGCCAGUACAAAGGGCUGCGAUACCGCGAGGUGGAGCGAAUCCCAAAAAACUGGUCUCAGUUCGGAUUGGGGU
This 531-nucleotide ribosomal RNA is filed under the name uncultured bacterium. Its description in RNAcentral is "bacterial SSU rRNA". It matches the Rfam family "Bacterial small subunit ribosomal RNA", at positions 772 to 1304 of the family's 1533-position model. The record is from RNAcentral.